RNAcentral lists this ribosomal RNA (382 nucleotides) under uncultured eukaryote. RNAcentral's name for it is "partial 18S ribosomal RNA". It matches the Rfam family "Eukaryotic small subunit ribosomal RNA", at positions 592 to 976 of the family's 1831-position model. The record is from RNAcentral.
CAAUAGCGUAUAUUAAAGUUGUUGCGGUUAAAAAGCUCGUAGUUGGAUUUCUGGUUGAAGCGACCGGUCGGGCGUUGAUUCGUCUGCACUGGAGUCGGUUUUGGCCAUCCUCUAGGAAAGUGCGUCUGGUAUUAAGUUAUCGGGCGUAUGAUCCUGGUCUUUUACUGUGAAAAAAUUAGAGUGUUUAAAGCAGGCCUUCGCCUUGAAUACAUUAGCAUGGAAUAAUAAGAUAGGACUUUGGUCUAUUUUGUUGGUUUGCAGACCGAAGUAAUGAUUAAUAGGGAUAGUUGGGGGUAUUUAUAUUCCGAUGUCAGAGGUGAAAUUCUUAGAUUUUCGGAAGAUAAACUUAUGCGAAAGCAUUUACCAAGGAUGUUUNCAUUAA